UUGGUUACUAUCCUUCCCGUACUA
Molecule: transfer RNA, 24 nt
Filed under: Neoeptesicus brasiliensis
Lineage: Eukaryota; Metazoa; Chordata; Mammalia; Chiroptera; Vespertilionidae
Description: partial tRNA-Met
Source: RNAcentral